This is a long non-coding RNA of Ruditapes philippinarum (Manila clam), 956 nucleotides long. RefSeq lists it as uncharacterized. The record is from RefSeq and is a predicted model, not a curated record. Lineage: Eukaryota; Metazoa; Mollusca; Bivalvia; Venerida; Veneridae. The transcript has 4 exons.
GUGAUUUUUGUCAGGAAAAUUUGCGUUACAAUCUUUUUCCGUAUAUUCAAAAUUAGCGCUUACACAAAUAAAGUUGGAAAUAAUUUUUCACUUUCUAUUAACGCUUUAGAUAUUAGUUAAUAUGUUUUGUUGUUUGUUGUUUUAUUUUUUAGUUCUUUAUGAAUAAUAUUAAUUAAUAAAUUGGUAUUAGUUAAAACCCCGUUUAUAAAAUAACGCCGGUCAGGGGAAGUAAUUGUUGCGGUCUAUGAUUUUGUUUGUUGUGUGUCUAUGAUUAUCGUUUGUGCAAAUGGUGGCGCUGUUUGGAAAAAUUUGAAAACAACACGAUUGGCAAUUUAUUUGGAUUUCGAAGAUCCUGGUCCUGGCUGAAAUUUAGAGUACUGCAGCUGUAGCCUGUAUACCAUACAUUCGCUGUAGCCUGUACACCAUACAUUCACUGUAGCCUGUAUACCAUACAUUCAACAUAAAAAGGACUGUCAGGAUGCUGCAUAAAAUGGUCUUAGCUAGAGCCUAGAAUGUUAAUUUCUUGGGAAAAUGCUGCAAGGAACUGACGGGGUGCAGUUUUUCUUACCAAUCAUAGGCAUGUCCAUGGCCGAGUGGUUAAGGUCGUUGACUGCAAACUACUUGGCACUCACCGCUGUUGGUUCGAAUCCUGACAGGGACUUUGGAUUCUUUCAUAUGAGGAAGCUAUCCAGCUAGCUUACGGAACUCAGGUGCCCGUUCGUACAUGAAACAAUGCAUGGAAGGGCACCUCUCCUCCUGGAAAGUCGCCUAUAAGAUCUUUAGCCCAAUCAAAGAAACAAACAAACCAUACUUCUUUCUAUUGUUAUUGUUAAUAUAUGAUACUGGAACAUUUUCAAAUCAUGUGAAAUAAACGAAAUAGCGAUUUGUCCUAUUUUACUCUGUAAUUGGAUGGAUAAAGAAGAAGCAAUGAGGUAUUUGUUAAAGAACAAAUUGAA